This 2431-nucleotide ribosomal RNA is filed under the name metagenome. Its description in RNAcentral is "bacterial LSU rRNA". It matches the Rfam family "Bacterial large subunit ribosomal RNA", at positions 114 to 2334 of the family's 2925-position model. The record is from RNAcentral.
CCGAAUGGGGAAACCCACUUAGGGUAAUGCCUAAGUAUCUAUAUCUGAACACAUAGGAUAUAAGAAGGGAACUUGGUGAACUGAAACAUCUAAGUAACCAGAGGAAAAAAAAUCAAACGAGAUUCCCUUAGUAGUGGCGAGCGAAACGGGAAAAGCCUAAACCCUAUAUGUGUAAGCAUGCAGGCGUUGCAUAUAGGGUGUUGUAGGGUUGUUUAUGAUAAGACUGCUUUCUUGUCCUUAAGUUACAAAUCAUCAUUUUAGUAGAAUAUGUUGGAAAGCAUAACCAUAGAAGGUGAUAGUCCUGUAAGCGAAAAAAUGGUGACUUAAGAAACAAUUCCUGAGUACCAUGGGACACGAGAAAUCUUGUGGGAAUCCGGGUGGACCAUCAUCCAAGGCUAAAUACUAGUGUGUAACCGAUAGUGUACCAGUACCGUGAGGGAAAGGUGAAAAGAACCCCGAGAGGGGAGUGAAAUAGAACGUGAAACCGUGUGCCUACAAGCUGUCGGAGGUUUCUUAUGAGACUGACGGCGUGCCUAUUGAAGAAUGUGCCGGCGACUUAAUGUUAACAGCAAGGUUAAGUUUGAAAACGGAGCCGUAGCGAAAGCGAGUCUGAAUAGGGCGUUUAGUUGUUGGCAUUAGACCCGAAACCUAGUGAUCUAUCCAUGGGCAGGAUGAAGCGAAAGUAACAUUUCGUGGAGGUCCGAACCGUUGUAUGUUGAAAAAUGCUCGGAUGACCUGUGGAUAGUGGUGAAAUGCUAAUCGAACUAGGAGAUAUCUGGCUCUCUCCGAAAUGACUUUAGGGUCAGCCUCAAAUGUUUAAACCUGGAGGUAGAGCACUGUUUAGGCUAGGGGGAUUACCAAUCCUACCGAACUUAGGCAAACUCCGAAUGCCAGGUGGUAUAAUUUGGGAGUGAGACAUAGGGGGCUAAGCUCCUAUGUCAAGAGGGAAACAGCCCAGAUCGUCAGCUAAGGUCCCUAAAAUAUGCUAAGUGGAAAAGGAAGUGGAGUUGCUUAAACAACCAGGAGGUUGGCUUAGAAGCAGCCAUCCUUUAAAGAAAGCGUAAUAGCUCACUGGUCGAGCGAUUCUGCGCCGAAAAUGUAACGGGGCUAAGCAUAUAACCGAAGCUAUGAAAUUCAGUGCUUGCAUUGAGUUGGUAGGAGAGCGUUCUGUAGUAGGUUGAAGUCAAACUGAUAAGUUUGGUGGACGAAGCAGAAGUGAGAAUGUCGGCAUAAGUAACGAAAAGACAGGUGAGAAUCCUGUCCGCCGAAAACCUAAGGUUUCCUGGGGAAGGCUCGUCCGCCCAGGGUUAGUCGGACCUAAGCCGAGGCCGAAAGGCGUAGCGCGAUGGACAACAGGUUAAUAUUCCUGUACUACCUUAUGUUCGCUAUUAGCGAAGGGGUGACGCAGAUGGAUAGGUCAGCCACUUAUUGGAUUGUGGUUUAAGCUCGUAGGAGGGAAGAAUUGGCAAAUCCGUUCUUCCGUUACUCUGAGAAGUGAAUACGACCCGCUUGCGGGAUAGUGAUCGACUCCUCACUGACAAGAAAAACCUCUAGUGAGAAUAUAGGGUACCCGUACUAAAACCGACACAGGUAGGUGGGUAGAGAAUACUAAGGCGAUCGGGAUAACUCUCGUUAAGGAACUCGGCAAAUUAGCCUCGUAACUUCGGGAGAAGAGGUGCCCCAUUAAUGUGAAAGCCCUGCGGCUGGAGCAUGAAGGGGUUGCAGUGAAAUGGCUCAAGCGACUGUUUAUCAAAAACACAGGUCUCUGCUAAACCGAAAGGUGAUGUAUAGGGGCUGACGCCUGCCCAGUGCUGGAAGGUUAAUAGGAUUUGUUAAUGCCCUCGGGUAUGAAGCACCGAAUUGUAUGGGGGCUGACACCUGCCCAGUGCCGGAAGGUUAAGGAAGCUGGUUAGCUUUUAGUGAAGCUGGCGACUGUAUGGGGGCUGACACCUGCCCAGUGCCGGAAGGUUAAGGAAGCUGGUUAGCUUUUAGUGAAGCUGGCGACUGAAGCCCCGGUGAACGGCUGCGUAACAAUAACGGUCCUAAGGUAGCGAAAUUCCUUGUCGGGUAAGUUCCGACCUGCACGAAUGGCGUAACGAUCUCCCCGCUGUCUCAAACUAACAGUGGACUCAGCGAAAUUGAACUGUCUGUGAAGAUGCAGACUUCCCGCGGUUAGACGGAAAGACCCCAUGCACCUUUACUAUAGCUUCGCACUGGCAUCAGGAAUGUGAUGUGCAGGAUAGGUGGUAGGCUUUGAAGCGGGGACGCCAGUUCCCGUGGAGCCACCCUUGAGAUACCACCCUUCGCCUUCUUGAUGUCUAACCGCGGCCCGUUAUCCGGGUCCGGGACCCUGCGUGGUGGGUAGUUUGACUGGGGCGGUCGCCUCCCAAAGAGUAACGGAGGCGCGCGAAGGUUGGCUCAGAGCGGUCGG